UAGGACCUCUCUGUGUGUAAGAUGUGCC
RNAcentral lists this non-coding RNA (28 nucleotides) under Rattus norvegicus (Norway rat). The record is from RNAcentral. Lineage: Eukaryota; Metazoa; Chordata; Mammalia; Rodentia; Muridae.